GACGAACGCUGGCGGCGUGCUUAACACAUGCAAGUCGAACGGCAAGGCACUGCUUUCGUGGGGUGCCCGAGUGGCGAACGGGUGAGUAACACGUGAGUAACCUGCUCUUGACUUUGGGAUAACUUCAGGAAACUGGGGCUAAUACCGGAUAGGAGAUCAUGCUGCAUGGUGGGGGUUGGAAAGUUUCGGCGGUCGGGGAUGGACUAGCGGGUUAACAGCUUGUUGGUGGGGUAGUGGAUUGCCAAGUCAUUGAAGGGUAGCUGGCAUGUGAGGGGGACCGGGCACAAGGGGACUGAGAUACGGCCCAGACGGCAACGGUAGACAGCGGGGGGAAGUAUUGCACAAUGGGCGGAAGCCUGAUGCAGCAACGUUGCGGUCGGAAUGACGGCCUGCGGGGUGUGAACCGCUGUCGCCUAUGACGAAGCGUUAGUGACGGUAAUGGGUGAAUAAGCACCGGCUAACUACGUG
Molecule: ribosomal RNA, 468 nt
Filed under: uncultured bacterium
Lineage: Bacteria
Description: partial 16S ribosomal RNA
Rfam family: Bacterial small subunit ribosomal RNA
Source: RNAcentral